UGGAAAUGAUGAAAUAGAGAUAUUUGGGUGUUGAAUGGUGUGUGACUGGAAAGUUUUUAUAUGCAUUUGAGUAAUUCUAGUUUAAUAUUUUGUAGAUACUUGAGAGAGAGAGAGAGUGUGUGUGUGUGUGUAUGUGUGUGUGUGUCCGUGAAUGCGGCGGCUAUGGAAGGGGGCACUGAACGGUGAUGCUGAUAUUGGAGUGCAUCUGAGGCAGUUGCAGACAUACUGGGUGUUGAUCACAACAUUGCCGAUGAUUAUAACCCAAAAACAGCUCACCUGCCUAGCCCAGCAUCCUCAAAUCUCUAACAGGUUCAUGGAACAUGACCCUGUGUUCUGAUCCAA
Non-coding RNA from Perognathus longimembris pacificus (Pacific pocket mouse), 342 nucleotides. RefSeq annotates it as small Cajal body-specific RNA 7. The record is from RefSeq and is a predicted model, not a curated record. Lineage: Eukaryota; Metazoa; Chordata; Mammalia; Rodentia; Heteromyidae. The transcript has a single exon.